AAGGCCUUGCGCUUUUGGAGCGGCCGAUGCCUGAUUAGCUUGUUGGUAAGGUAAAAGCUUACCAAGGCUUCGAUCAGUAGCUGGUCUGAGAGGACGGCCAGCCACACUGGGACUGAGACACGGCCCAGACUCCUACGGGAGGCAGCAGUGGGGAAUUUUGGACAAUGGGGGCAACCCUGAUCCAGCCAUGCCGCGUGAGUGAAGAAGGCCUUCGGGUUGUAAAGCUCUUUCAGCCGGAACGAAACGGUUACGGUUAAUACCCGUGAUUACUGACGGUACCGGAAGAAGAGGCACCGGCUAACUACGUGCCAGCAGCCGCGGUAAUACGUAGGGUGCGAGCGUUAAUCGGAAUUACUGGGCGUAAAGCGUGCGCAGGUGGUUUUGUAAGUCAGAUGUGAAAGCCCCGGGCUCAACCUGGGAACU
RNAcentral lists this ribosomal RNA (423 nucleotides) under uncultured bacterium. RNAcentral's name for it is "bacterial SSU rRNA". It matches the Rfam family "Bacterial small subunit ribosomal RNA", at positions 202 to 622 of the family's 1533-position model. The record is from RNAcentral.